Molecule: ribosomal RNA, 253 nt
Filed under: uncultured bacterium
Lineage: Bacteria
Description: partial 16S ribosomal RNA
Rfam family: Bacterial small subunit ribosomal RNA
Source: RNAcentral
UACGGGGGGGGCAAGCGUUGUUCGGAAUUACUGGGCGUAAAGGGCGUGUAGGCGGCCAACUAAGUCCGACGUGAAAUCCCCAGGCUUAACCUGGGAACUGCGUCGGAUACUGGAUGGCUUGAAUCCGGGAGAGGGAUGCAGAAUUCCAGGUGUAGCGGUGAAAUGCGCAGAUAUCAGGAGGAACACCGGUGGCGAAGGCGGGUCUCUGGGCCGGAACUGACGCUAAGGAGCGAAAGCGUGGGGAGCGAACAGG